This 269-nucleotide unclassified non-coding RNA is filed under the name uncultured Lactarius. RNAcentral's name for it is "sequence contains ITS2". The record is from RNAcentral. Lineage: Eukaryota; Fungi; Basidiomycota; Agaricomycetes; Russulales; Russulaceae.
AAAUCUCAACCUCCUUGGUUUCUUCUGGAGACCAAAGGAGGCUUGGACUUUGGAGGCCUUUGCUGGUGUCUCUCUCUUUUGAAGGCCAGCUCCUCUUAAAUGAAUUAGCGGGGUCCUCUUUGCCGAUCCUUGACAUGUGAUAAGAUGUUUCCAUGCCUCGGUUUCUGGCUCUGUUGCCUUUGGGACCCGCUUCUAACCGUCUUGACCUUGCAUCGAGACAAUGUUCGAGCUUGUCUCCCUUUUCGGGAAACUCUCUCGACCCCACGAAC